Felis catus (domestic cat) is the source of this 1495-nucleotide long non-coding RNA. RefSeq lists it as uncharacterized. The record is from RefSeq and is a predicted model, not a curated record. The transcript is spliced from 3 exons. Lineage: Eukaryota; Metazoa; Chordata; Mammalia; Carnivora; Felidae.
CCGGGAGGCGCACUCCUGAGGGAGAAGGGGCAGAAACAGGAAAUUCCCUCUCGGGGCAAUGUCCAAGGCUGCUUAUCGGGCCAGGACGGACUUCAGCCUCCCAGCCCUCCUCCUCUUCCUCCAGCCCGAUUCUCCCUCGGCCCCUCCCGGCGGCAGGCAGGAAGCAGCUUAGCUGAAUGUUCUGCAGAGGCCUGUGCUGUGCUGACCUGGCCAGAACAAGCCAGCAGCAGCUCGGGAAGAAAAGCAGUGGCUGGAACGUGCUGGAAAGAAUGUUCAUCUGGGGUCAACACGGGGGGGAAAGAGCUGGAGCCCACAGCCAGAGGCCCACUCGCCUGGGAAGGGCCCUUAUCUCCCCUGAGGUGCUGGGCUCUCGCCUGUGUGUGGUGACCAGAGGCCUGCAGUGCUUGGGGGUGUGGGGGAGGAGCAUGGCGGGCCCUGCGGUCCGUCCUGGGGCCCUGCUGAUUCAGGUCACGGGGGUAUGUUUAUCAGGGCAGGGAGGGCCCCCAGAGACAGCCAGUCCCGGGGUCCCAAAUAAGUGGUGGGUCUACGACCAGACUCCCUCCCUCUGAAUCCUCCUUAACACAGCACCCCACACAGGUGCACAUCAGCCGGAGCUGGCCCAAGAGUUAACAACUGCCCUGUGCUUCUAGCUUCUAGCACCAGGACUCUGUGCCUGGAUGAUAUCUCCCCGAGGGGUGGAAGGGCUCCCUCCAGGUCCCACGGCCUGGAGAGAGGCAGGUCAGGACCAGCUCUCCCGGUCCAGAUGCUAGGCACUUUUCAUGACACACAGACUUUUUGCACAGGGGGUGACACCCACGCCGUCCUGCCUGCUGCCGAGAGCUAAGUUACGCAGCUGCUGUGAUUGUAGGAGGGGCUGGCACUGGCCUCCCGGGACAGCUGACGCUGCAGCUGCCGCUGGGGUGGUGGCGGGACCCACCCUCCCCCCCCCCAGGCUGUCUGGUCUGUUCGGUGGCAAAGCUCAGAAUGGUUUUGAAGUACAGAAUGAGUUUACUUGCGAAUGAGGGAAUGAGGCCAACACAGAGGACGGCGGAGCCGGAAUGGAAAGUGUGAUACAUUUCUGAUGACAUUAUCUGAGCCUCUGGAUCCCGCCCUCUGCAGCCCUGAAUUUCCCAGCAUGUUCUGAGCCGCUGUGUAAAGAAGUCUGGCUACCCUGCUGGAGAGACCAUAUGAAACGGGAGGCCUGGGCAGCCUCUAGAUAUUGCAGUCACCACACUGAAAGCACGGAACGUGUGAGGGAAGCCCUCUUGGACGUUCUGGUUCUGGCUAAGCAGAGCACGGACUGGAAAGUGGGGCACAUUUCCUGAUGAUACCACUCGGACGGCCGGAUCCAGCCAUGCCUGAAGCCAGUCCAGCCGGGUGCAGCUGAGUGCAGCUGCCUGAGUGGUCUCGGGCAACACCAUGUGGAGCACAACCACCAGGUGAGCCCAGCCAACCCACAGAAUCACGAGCGAGACUAAAUUGCUGUUUUAAGCCA